GACAGAGGUCCCGAGCGUUGUUCGGAUUCACUGGGCGUAAAGGGUGCGUAGGUGGCAUGAUAAGUUUGAUGUGAAAGCUCAGGGCUUAACCCUGAAAUGGCAUUGAAUACUAUCGUGCUGGAGGUUUGGAGGGGGGACUGGAAUUCUUGGUGUAGCAGUGAAAUGCGUAGAUAUAAAGAGGAACACCAGUGGCGAAGGCGAGUCCCUGGACAACACCUGACACUGAGAGACGAAAGCUAGGGGAGCGAAUGGG
RNAcentral lists this ribosomal RNA (253 nucleotides) under uncultured bacterium. RNAcentral describes it as "partial 16S ribosomal RNA". It matches the Rfam family "Bacterial small subunit ribosomal RNA", at positions 524 to 776 of the family's 1533-position model. The record is from RNAcentral.